AACGAACGCUGGCGGCAUGCCUAACACAUGCAAGUCGAACGAGACCUUCGGGUCUAGUGGCGCACGGGUGCGUAACGCGUGGGAACCUGCCCUUAGGUUCGGAAUAACUCCCCGAAAGGGGUGCUAAUACCGGAUAAUGUCUUCUGACCAAAGAUUUAUCGCCUUUGGAUGGGCCCGCGUUGGAUUAGCUAGUUGGUAGGGUAAAAGCCUACCAAGGCGACGAUCCAUAGCUGGUCUGAGAGGAUGGUCAGCUACACUUGGUCUGAGACACGGCACAUAAUCCUACUGGAGGCAGCAGUGGGGAAUAUUGGACGAUGGGCGAAAGCCUGAUCCAGCAAUUCCGCGUGAGUGAUGAAGGCCUUAGGGUUGUAAAGCUCUUUUACCCGGGAUGAUAAUGACAGUUCCGGGUGAAUAAGCUCCGGCUAACUCCGUG
RNAcentral lists this ribosomal RNA (433 nucleotides) under uncultured bacterium. RNAcentral describes it as "partial 16S ribosomal RNA". It matches the Rfam family "Bacterial small subunit ribosomal RNA", at positions 29 to 507 of the family's 1533-position model. The record is from RNAcentral.